UACGGAGGGAGCGAGCGUUGUCCGGAAUCAUUGGGCGUAAAGAGCGCGUAGGCGGUCCGGUAAGUCCGCUCUGAAAGUCCGGGGCUCAACCCCGGGAGGCGGGCGGAUACUGUCGGGCUAGAGUCCGGAAGAGGCGAGUGGAAUUCCUGGUGUAGCGGUGAAAUGCGCAGAUAUCAGGAGGAACACCAAUGGCGAAGGCAGCUCGCUGGGACGGUACUGACGCUGAGGCGCGAAAGCGUGGGGAGCGAACAGG
RNAcentral lists this ribosomal RNA (253 nucleotides) under uncultured bacterium. RNAcentral's name for it is "partial 16S ribosomal RNA". It matches the Rfam family "Bacterial small subunit ribosomal RNA", at positions 524 to 776 of the family's 1533-position model. The record is from RNAcentral.